RNAcentral lists this long non-coding RNA (315 nucleotides) under Cyanistes caeruleus (blue tit). Its description in RNAcentral is "lncRNA (ENSCCEG00000021476.1)". The record is from RNAcentral. Lineage: Eukaryota; Metazoa; Chordata; Aves; Passeriformes; Paridae.
UAACUUCAGAGACUUGCUAUGAAGUCAGCAGAGAUGGAGAAGUAUCUAAGAGGCCAAUCUAACCCAUAUGUGCAUUUAUUUCAGCUGCCAUGAGACAUCCUUUGCAGAGGCACAAGUGUCUCUAUUGACUGCAGAACCAGUAUAAUGACUGCUUUGGACCAGACAUCAAAUUCAUUAAUUGCACAGCGCACAGCCUUGCACUGUCAAAAAUGUCACAGGUUAAUGGUACAACUGAGCUCCAUUUAUCUUAUUCUGACAGCUUGUCCAAUGUUGUACGUCUAGCAAUGGCAUCUCUCCUAAAGUAAGUGACAUUUU